CCAAGGAGUUUAUCGUGUACGCAAGUCAUUGGGUGAAUAAAACCCAAAGGCGAAAUGAAAGUAAAGAGUUGAUUUUAUAAAAAGGAAUUUAUUCUUUUUUAUUUUUCUCUUAAGGGAAGAUGAAAAUUUAAUAUUAUAAUAUUUAUAUUAUUUUAUAUAAAUUUUUCGCAUUCCCAGGGCGCUUAUUUCACGCUUUGCGUGUCAAUGCGCACCUAGAGCGUACACGCUGAUACCCGAAAGAUGGUGAACUAUGCCUGGCCAGGACGAAGCCAGGGGAAACCCUGGUGGAGGUCCGCAGCGAUUCUGACGUGCAAAUCGAUCGUCGGAGCUGGGUAUAGGGGCGAAAGACCAAUCGAACCAUCUAGUAGCUGGUUCCCUCUGAAGUUUCCCUCAGGAUAGCUUGCACUCGGUUGAGAAGAGUCUCAUCCGGUAGAGCGAAUGAUUAGAGGCAUUGGGGUCGAAACGACCUCAACCUAUUCUCAAACUCCAAAUAGAUGAGACCCCCGGCUUUCUUAAAAUUGAAGCCGUGGGAAUUGGAUCAGAGUGCCAAGUGGGCCAAUUUU
This 563-nucleotide ribosomal RNA is filed under the name Pselliopus coccinea. RNAcentral's name for it is "eukaryotic LSU rRNA". It matches the Rfam family "Eukaryotic large subunit ribosomal RNA", at positions 666 to 1138 of the family's 3401-position model. The record is from RNAcentral. Lineage: Eukaryota; Metazoa; Arthropoda; Insecta; Hemiptera; Reduviidae.